CCUACGGGCGGCAGCAGUGGGGAAUAUUGCACAAUGGGGGGAACCCUGAUGCAGCGACGCCGCGUGGGUGCAGGAGUAUUUCGGUAUGUAACGCCCUAUCAGCAGGGAAGAACAAUGACGGUACCUGACUAAGAAGCACCGGCUAAAUACGUGCCAGCAGCCGCGGUAAUACGUAUGGUGAAAGCGUUCUGCCGAUUGACGGGGGGUAAAGGGGGCGCAGGCGGGGCGGUAAGCCUGGUGUGAAAGGCCGCGGCCUAACCGCGGGACUGACUUGGUCACUGGCGCGCUGGAGUGCCGGAGGGGUAGGCGGACUUCCUUGUGUAGCGGUGAAAUGCGUAGAUCUUAGGAGGAACACCAGUGGCGCAGGCGGCCUACUGGACGGUGACUGACGCUGAGGCUCGAAAGCGUGGGGAGCAAACAGGAUUAGAUACCCCAGUAGUC
Molecule: ribosomal RNA, 441 nt
Filed under: uncultured bacterium
Lineage: Bacteria
Description: partial 16S ribosomal RNA
Rfam family: Bacterial small subunit ribosomal RNA
Source: RNAcentral